Molecule: ribosomal RNA, 1626 nt
Filed under: Salmonella enterica subsp. enterica serovar Thompson
Lineage: Bacteria; Pseudomonadati; Pseudomonadota; Gammaproteobacteria; Enterobacterales; Enterobacteriaceae
Description: bacterial LSU rRNA
Rfam family: Bacterial large subunit ribosomal RNA
Source: RNAcentral
CUCGCCGGAAGACCAAGGGUUCCUGUCCAACGUUAAUCGGGGCAGGGUGAGUCGACCCCUAAGGCGAGGCCGAAAGGCGUAGUCGAUGGGAAACAGGUUAAUAUUCCCGUACUUGGUGUUACUGCGAAGGGGGGACGGAGAAGGCUAUGUUGGCCGGGCGACGGUUGUCCCGGUUUAAGCGUGUAGGUGUGUGUUCCAGGUAAAUCCGGUUCACUUUAACACUGAGGCGUGAUGACGAGGCACUACGGUGCUGAAGCAACAAAUGCCCUGCUUCCAGGAAAAGCCUCUAAGCAUCAGGUAACAUCAAAUCGUACCCCAAACCGACACAGGUGGUCAGGUAGAGAAUACCAAGGCGCUUGAGAGAACUCGGGUGAAGGAACUAGGCAAAAUGGUGCCGUAACUUCGGGAGAAGGCACGCUGACACGUAGGUGAAGUGAUUUACUCAUGGAGCUGAAGUCAGUCGAAGAUACCAGCUGGCUGCAACUGUUUAUUAAAAACACAGCACUGUGCAAACACGAAAGUGGACGUAUACGGUGUGACGCCUGCCCGGUGCCGGAAGGUUAAUUGAUGGGGUCAGCGCAAGCGAAGCUCCUGAUCGAAGCCCCGGUAAACGGCGGCCGUAACUAUAACGGUCCUAAGGUAGCGAAAUUCCUUGUCGGGUAAGUUCCGACCUGCACGAAUGGCGUAAUGAUGGCCAGGCUGUCUCCACCCGAGACUCAGUGAAAUUGAACUCGCUGUGAAGAUGCAGUGUACCCGCGGCAAGACGGAAAGACCCCGUGAACCUUUACUAUAGCUUGACACUGAACAUUGAGCCUUGAUGUGUAGGAUAGGUGGGAGGCUUUGAAGCGUGGACGCCAGUCUGCGUGGAGCCGACCUUGAAAUACCACCCUUUAAUGUUUGAUGUUCUAACGUGGACCCGUAAUCCGGGUUGCGGACAGUGUCUGGUGGGUAGUUUGACUGGGGCGGUCUCCUCCUAAAGAGUAACGGAGGAGCACGAAGGUUGGCUAAUCCUGGUCGGACAUCAGGAGGUUAGUGCAAUGGCAUAAGCCAGCUUGACUGCGAGCGUGACGGCGCGAGCAGGUGCGAAAGCAGGUCAUAGUGAUCCGGUGGUUCUGAAUGGAAGGGCCAUCGCUCAACGGAUAAAAGGUACUCCGGGGAUAACAGGCUGAUACCGCCCAAGAGUUCAUAUCGACGGCGGUGUUUGGCACCUCGAUGUCGGCUCAUCACAUCCUGGGGCUGAAGUAGGUCCCAAGGGUAUGGCUGUUCGCCAUUUAAAGUGGUACGCGAGCUGGGUUUAGAACGUCGUGAGACAGUUCGGUCCCUAUCUGCCGUGGGCGCUGGAGAACUGAGGGGGGCUGCUCCUAGUACGAGAGGACCGGAGUGGACGCAUCACUGGUGUUCGGGUUGUCAUGCCAAUGGCACUGCCCGGUAGCUAAAUGCGGAAGAGAUAAGUGCUGAAAGCAUCUAAGCACGAAACUUGCCCCGAGAUGAGUUCUCCCUGAGACUUAGAGUCUCCUGAAGGAACGUUGAAGACGACGACGUUGAUAGGCCGGGUGUGUAAGCGCAGCGAUGCGUUGAGCUAACCGGUACUAAUGAACCGUGAGGCUUAACCUUACAACGCCGAAG